This 11338-nucleotide unclassified non-coding RNA is filed under the name Diabrotica virgifera virgifera (western corn rootworm). RNAcentral's name for it is "protein ecdysoneless". Lineage: Eukaryota; Metazoa; Arthropoda; Insecta; Coleoptera; Chrysomelidae. The record is from RNAcentral.
UGUUUUUGUUCAUUGUUGUCGUUUUCCAUUUCCAUUCAUUUUUUGAAAUGGCUGGGAUGACUAACGUUCUUGAAACUGUCCGCGAGGACGAUUUUGUAGAAUAUUUCAUAUUUCCACAAAUAGAAACCCACGAUGAGCAGGAACAAGAAAAUAUUCUAACGGCGCUAUUAGAUAAAACCAAUAAAAUAAUUCAUAAAUAUACCAAAAACUUUUUGUGGCACAAAGACGAUUUUAAACUUGUAAUUAGAACAUCCACAUCCAAUUUCUUAAAUGAAAUCGAAGGCCAAAAAGAAGCACUGCCUCCACAUCUUUAUGGGGUAUCACAUUAUGGAGACAAUAUUGAAGAUGAAUGGUUUAUGGUAUUUCUUUUGAGGCAACUAACAAAGGAAUUGACUGGAUCCAUUGCCAGAGUUCAUGAUAUUGAUGGGGAGUUCCUUCUUAUUGAAGCAGCUGAAUAUUUACCAAACUGGGCUAGACCAGAAACUUGUGAAAGUAGGGUCUAUAUGUACAAUGGCAACAUCCACUUAAUUCCGCAUGAUGAUUCAACUUCAACCACAAUCACAAUAAACGAAGCUGUGUCAUCAAUAAGAGAAAAUCCCACAUCGACAGUUGCAUCAACAGAAAUCCAGCAAGCCAUAAAAACAAAACUCGAUGGUUAUCCCGAUAAAUUGAAAGACAAUAUCCAUAACGCAGUAGUUUACAUACCAAUAGGAGUAGCGAAAGCUUUAAAAGCGAAACCCAACCUGAUCUCAGCCGCUGUUCAAGUGUUUUGUAAUAGAGACUCAGUUGACCUUAAAGCCUGUAGAGCUAUGAAAUACUUUCCACCUGAAAAUAGAGUUAAACAAAGGGUUACCUUCACUAAAUGUCUGUAUGCCAUGUUAACCCAUAGUAAGUAUCUUCCAGACAGAAGAACUGGAUGGAAUCUACCUCCUACCAAUUCCAAAGAAUACCAGUCUAAUAUUUUAGGAGUCAAACUAGCUUGUGGCUUUGAAAUUUUGGCUUCCCAAGCUAAGCCGAGUACUGACGUUGAAUCUGAUAGAGGCUGGCAGAAUUACCUAAAAAGUCUGAAAGAAAAAGGGUAUUUUAAAGAUUAUUUAGAACAUUCUUUAGGUUACAAUAAUUUACUAAACAAAGCCAAGGAGUAUUACGUCGAUCAUAGAGAUUCUAUGCAUCAAAACUCGUCAAUAGGUCAAGAAAUUUUAGAUUUAAGUAGAAAUAUCGAUAUAGAAGUCGAAGAAGAGACGAACCUGGUAGAUGACGACGAUUCUUGGCUGAAUAUUAGUCCUGAUGAUCUCGACAAGAUGCUUCAAGAAAAAUAUGGACAGAAAAAAAUAUUCAACGUUAAUAAUAAUACAGACGCGUCUAGUUUUACAGAAAAGUUAAACAGUUUCUUGAACCACGUUUCUGAUGUGGAUGGAGCAGAGUUUCCCAAUGAAAACGAAUCUCCUGUUAGACCCCCAAGGCGCAAAAAUAAAUCGAAGGUGUCUUUUUCAUCUGAAGCUAAAACGGAAGAAACAACAUCUAACAACAAAAUAAACUUCGACCCGAACUCUUUUACUUGUGCACUACAAAACAUCCUAAAUUUCUCCAUACCCGAGGACGAUUCUUGGGACUUGGACUCCGAUUCGGAAAUGAGUGAAUAUGAAGAAGAUAACUAUGUCAAAGAUCAAAGUUACGAAACCGCGAAAGAUAAAAAUAAGCUGCAAAAAUAUAUGGAAGAAAUGGACCGCGAAUUAGAAGGAACUACUAUUGGACAAAGUUUUGAGAAGAAGAACGGAGAUAAUUUCGAAGAUAUAGAGAAUUUCAAGCCGGUCGAUAUUAACGUUAAUGCCUUAAAAUACAUUUUAGAGAGUUACAAAAGUCAGUUAGGGGAUGCGGGACCGUCUAGUAAUAUGCUGGGACCUAUGGGGCUCCAUCUUGAUCCCAAGGAUAACAUUGAUAUGGAUUAAAAAGAAGUUAUAAUUCGAUUUGGAGAAAAACACCAUAUAUGUAUACCCGUACGUUACAAAAAACUUGGCACAUCAUAGGCAUUUAGGGUUAAAAUCAGAUUACAGUUGAGUCCAGGGUUCUUUACCCGUGCGUCAUCAUUUAAAGCAUACGAAAUAAGUCGGAAAUUUACUCCACGCAACAGCAAGUCACAUAAAGUGACUACUGCUCCGAUAACGGGUUAUAUUAUAAAAUUUGACGUUAUCAAAUAAAUAAAAUGUCAAAUGUAAGUUUUGCUUUAAAAUUUUAUAAAAAAUUUUAAAUAUGAUUAAUAUUUUUUUUGUCAUUUUAUUCACUUUGUCGGAAACUUAAACACAACCAUUCCUUAACUGUGUGAAGGAGGUUAGCUUUGUAUGUUGUAAAAAUUAAUGGCAAAAUAAAAUACACUUACCAUAAAAUUUCAAACUCCAAUAUACCUAUAAUUAGUUGUGAAAACAACUGUUUGUGUGAUAUAAAAAACUUAUAAUAUAUAAAAACUAAAUAUAUUAUUAAAAAAUCACUUUAUUGCUUUUCCUCUUUUCUCGAUUGAGUAUUAGUUUUUGUUGUACAGUAUAUAAAUUAUUACAAUCACUGAAUACAUAGUUAGUGAAAAAAUUAUCAUAUUAAUUAACUGAAUUAAUAAUUAAGGCAAUUAUACAAGUAACAGUUAUCCAAGAAAAGCCAUCUCUUUAAAGUUAAUGAUGACAUUGUCAAGUAAUGUUUACAUAUACAUAUCAGUGAGAAUUUUACUACACGUAAUUUGCCGUGUUAAGAUAGAAAAAGUAGGGAUAGCCGUAAAAUAUUUGCGCCUACACUCAUAACAGGCGGUAGAUGGUUUGUCUUUAUAACCCGAUCAAAGACCAAUCUGACCCCAAAAAAAAUAAAGGAAGGAUGAAAAUUUGGGAAUAGGUAGUUGAAAUUGUCUAUUAUUAUAUAAAAAAAAGUUUACAAUUCUAAGUCCGCUCCAUUUAACAAACAUGAAGGGGAAUACCCCCUCUCGAAGGUGAAAAACAUACAUUCAAAAUAAGACCGGAAUUGGAUAAAAUGACUGAUUCUAAACAACUUUUGUUCUAAAGAGUUUUUUCGCUAAGUCAAUACUUUUCGAGUUAUUUGCGAGUGAAUAUGUUCAUUUUUAACAAAAAAAAACUUGUUUUUGGGCGGUUUUUCGGAGAUAACUCAAAAAGUAGAAGCAGAGUUGUAGCUAAUGAAAAGUAGGUUCUUCUUCGUCAAAUUCCAAAUCGAAUAUUUCAAUGUGAAAUAACCCAAAAACGGAGCACUUUUCGGGGAAAAUUUAUUUCAACUUUUUUAAAGUGUUUAAAAAAGGUUUAUUUUUGUUUUUUUUUUUAACUUUUAACAUUAAAAGUAAGUGAGUUACGCUCAAAAUAUUGUUGGUUCCUUUUAUUUUUUGGUAACAAAAAUCGCGAAAAUCGCCCCCUAAUUAGCAUCACAAAUAAAUUUUAUCAUUACCACUUCUUGACAAGUUACUUUGCUUAUGUAUUAUUUAUAUGAUCUGUAAAAGCUGUAGUUAAAAUGGCUUGAACGAGUAACUUAUCACGAGUUUAGGCAAAUUUUGAACAGCCAUAGCAUAACCAAUUUUUGUCUAACAAGAAAACAAAAAAUCAAAAAUAUUCAGAAAAGCAAAACGAAUAUUUUAUUACUCUUUGAGAUUUUUGGUAUUACUAAUAAUUUUUAAGUUAAUUCCAUAAAAAAUUCAAUUUUUUUUUCAAAAUUAAAAAAACAUGUUUUAUUUUAAACCCAUUUUUUUUUCAAAAAUGGGCACUUUAAACCAAUGAAACUUAUAGAUAAUAUAAACAAUACAUAAUUAAAGUAACUUGUGAAGCGGUAACGAUUAAUUUUAUUUGGGAAGCUAAGUAGGGGAUGAUUUUCGCGAUUUUUUUAGCAAAAAAUAAAAAAGACCAGCAAUAUUUUGAGCGUAACUUAUACUUUUAAUUUUAGAAGUUUUUUUAGAAAACAAAAAUAAACCUUUUUUAAACACUUGAAAAAACCCUAAAAAACCUUUUAAAAUCCUUUUGUAAUGAAUUUUCCCCGAAGAAAAGAGCUCCGUUUUUGGGUUAUUUCAAAUUGAAAUAUUCGAUUUGGAAUUUGACGAAGAAGAAUCUACUUUUCAUUAGCUACAACUGUGCUUCUACUAGGUCUACAGACCUCAUGCAUACACCAUUUUUUUUUCAGUUUUUUUAUAAGCUAUAUUUUAGCUAAGAAUCGCGUUUCGCUAAAAUAGUUACUUUUUGAGUUAUCUGCGAAAAACCGUCCAAAAACAUGUUUUUUUUUUUUGUUAAAAUUGAACAUAAUAUUAUUCACUCGCAAAUAACAAGAAAAGUAUUAACUUAGUGAAAAAACUAUAUAGAACAAAAGUUACUUAGAAUUAGUCAUUUUAUACAAUUUCGGACUUAUUUUGAACGUAUAUUUUUUCAUCCCCGAGAAAAUAUUUCCCAAUUUUUGUAAAAUGGAGGGGAUGUAGAAUUGUAAACUUUUUCUUAUAUAAUAAUAGACAAUUUCAACUACCUAUUCCCAAAUUUUCAUCCUUCCUUUAUUUUUUUGGAGGUUUUCGUCAAAUUUUGUGUUCCCUGGUCGGGCUAUUAGUUUCAUGCGUGGAAGAAAAUGAUGCUAGAUAAAAAGUAUGUGUUUUCUCUCGUCAGGUAUUAAUGACGUACGGGUAAAGAAUCGUGGACUCAACUGUAUGUAUAUAUAAGCAGUAGUUCAUGGUGUUUUUCCUUCAUUAUGCCAAUUGGUAGAUUUCCUGCAAUGCCGUCUUAAAAUAUUUUAGUGUCAAAUUGUUGCCUUAAAGUUAGAAAACGGUAUCGUUUUUUAAUUUUACACAUGUUUUUUAUUAACACUACAAAACUGAGCAAUAUUUUGUACUGGAACUUUUGUAAUGUAACUAACCAAAACGUUUGAUACUAAAAUUUAUCGACACGAUUUACCGUUGCCGCCUGAUCAAACUAGUUUUCCUAAGUCACAUGUAUUUUCAUUAGCCAUAAAUGACACAUCUUUAUUAAAUAAUAUGAUCUUUGUCAAUGUAUCUUUUAGUUUUAUGUACAUAUAACUCUUUCAUUGACACCUCGGUCUGAACCGUCAACAAAAUUUGUCGUUGGGAGAUCAGAAUGUCAGAUUCUUCUUCUUGUAGUGCCUAUCGUUUCGGAUGUUGGCGACCAUCAUGGCAAUCUGUACUUUGCACAUUGCUGAUCUGAAAAUAUUUGUGGUUGUUGUUUUGAACCAUGUACGUAGAUUGUUCAACCAAGAAAUACUGCGCCCUACAUGUCCUCGUUUUUCUUUUACUUUUCCUUGUAAAAUUACUUGCAGCAAUCCAUAUCUUUCUCUGUUCCUCAUGGUGUGACCGAUUUUGGCUGGUUCUAUUGUGGUUAACAGUUUUUUUUGUAUUCCUUAUAAAACGUCCUGAUUAGUAACUUGGUCGGUAUAAGAUAUCUUCAGGAUUCGACGAUAAAGCCACAUUUAGAAAGUCCCAAUUUUCUUGCAGGUGGCGUCUGUGAGAGUUCACUACUCAACUCCGUACAACAGUAUAGUAAAGAUAUAACAUGUAACCUGUAUUGAUAAAUCAUUAAAUUUGAAUAACUCGGCCAUUUUUUGAAAUGCAGAUCUUGUUUUCUCUAUCCUAUAUUUAAUUAAUAGGGAAUGGUUCCAAUUUUAAUUGACGUUCGUAACAAGGUAGGUAUAUAUUUUUACUCUUUCUAUUUGUUGACCGUUCACACUGAUUCGUCCAAAUUGCUGUUCCUUUUUAGAGAUCAUCAUACAUUUUGUUUUCUUAAUGUCUAGUGAAAGUCCAUAUCUGUGACUUACUUCUGUGAUUCUAUUCAUUAACUACUAGAGGGCUUCAGAAAUAUCAGCGAAUACCACCGUGUCGUCUGUGUAUCUUAUACAUUCUCCAUUAAUUCGAAUUCUGACUUAAACAUCAUUUACUGCCUCUUGAAAGGCUUCCUCAAGUAUAAUUUGAAAAGCAGUAAUGAUAUUAUACAUCUCUGUGGGACUCUAAGUUUGAUUUUGAUAUAGUCGGAUUCUCCUGCCUUUGUCCGAAUAGACGAUGUUUGAUUCCAGUAAACAUUACUAAUGAUUCUUAGAUCACAGGUGUGUAUUCAUAUAUUGGUUAAUCCUCUCCAUCAGCUUGAAGCAUGCAUAAAUAUCGCAAUUUACAUCUCUACACUGCAUUCCGAAAACCAAACUGUGUGCGGCUGAUUUUUCUUCCCACAGUCUAUAAUAUAUCCAUUGAUGUAUAAUUUUUAGAAAUAAUUUUAAAAUACAAAAUAUAUGUCCAGGCCUAAUCCACAUGUAUUUAUUUAGGAAAUUUAAAAUCAUUAUAUUAUACAUUAUAGUUUCAAGGGUGUCGCAGGGUAAUACAAUAGAUUGUGUGCUUAACAAUUUGAAUAACAUUGGCUCUGACAGUCUUCUCUCACUGCGAUGAAGAUUAUUCGACGGCCAAAAUCGUCUUGUCCAUGAAAGGUUUAAUAACUAUUACUCUAUAAAUUAGAUAUAUAUUUUUAAUAAUGAUUUUAGUAAUAUAAAGUACAGUGUGAACAUACAACGACAUUUAAGAUUUGAUGUUUAAACGUUUUGGAAAUUUUGUCCAUAUUAUUAGUUAUGUAUUUUUUUUUUAAAUAUGAUGCAAAGUCCUUUAAGUUGUUUGUCUCGUAUGUCAUUUAUGUCUAUUGAAACGUGAAUAUAUAAAUCAUAAAAUAUCCUGUUUUUAGGGUGCUGUCGUAUGUUGUAAGACUUAUAUUUUAUAAUGUGUGUAACUGCCAUAGUAGUGGUUAGUUGUUUUUUAUAUAUGUUUGCCAUGCACUAAUACAUAUUACCUAUAGUAAAGUAAGAGUAUUAUAGUUAUAAAAUAUUAACCCAUUUUUAUAAUCUUUGAUAUUUUAAUGUUAAUUCAGGUAUUUGGAUUGCCAGAAAUAUGAAUAACUAAAAUACCCCAUGCAUCUUCGACUUGCCAAAAUAAAAAAAUAUGUGAAAGUAAUAACAAAUUGAUUAAUUUAUAAAACCAUAUAUUUAUGGCGAAUACGUUUUUAUAAGAGUAGUAAAUAUACAUCUAUGAUUAAUUAUUAUUAAAGAAAGCUUAUGUUUCAUUUCGGUUCAGAGAUGAUCCACCAUCCCCAUACGACUAUUUCGGUCUCUUCAGACCUCUUCAGUGGGGCUACGUGAAUACCUCUGAAUCGAAUACGCAGCAGAAUUAUAAAAAUAAUUCUCAUAUCGGACGCUGUCGCGACAUCUAUUAAAGAAAUGAGAAGUCCCAGAUUUUUUUUAUUUAAUUUAAAAGUAUUUUGCAAUCUGUUGAGUGUCAACAAUAAACAAAAGUAAUGACAUUGACUAAGGACAAGAAAGAUUUUACUCACUAGUAAAAUCAAAAUACAAUUUUUAUAAAGUUGUGUAGAAAAUAAUUACAUUUUAUAACUACUAACUAAUUAGUUUAAAAGUUUACUCUAAAUGGUAAGUCCAGUGGUUUGAACCUCUUUAACUUACGCUGUUCUUGGGAAUUGUCUAGGAGGUUAAGUGCAAACUGGUUUUCAUGAUCCUCCAACUUGGCAAUGUAUGCAGCGCUACGUUUUGUGAUGACUUCUUGUACCAUAUCCAUUUUAAGGUCUCGAUGAAUAAUUCUGUUGUUGAUGUACCAAGGUGCAUUAGUGAUGGUUCUGAGGGUUUUUGAUUGGAAGCGUUGGAUAAUUUCUAUGUUGGAGUGACUGGCUGUUCCCCAUAGUUCCAACCCAUAUAUCCCAGAUUGGCAUAAGUAUUGCCUUAUAGAGCAGCAAUUUAUUAUCCAGAGAUAGUCUUGAUGAACGGCCCAUUAACCAAUACAUAUUUCUUAAUUGGAGACCUAGUUGCUUUCUCUUGGUCCAGAUAUGUUUCCUCCAUGUGAGACUUCUGUCCAAGUGAAUACCAAGAUAUUUUACCUCGUUGGCUGAUGGUAAUUGGCGAUUGUUUAAAAUUACAGGACAGUUCCUCUUCGUGUUGUAAAUGUAACAUGAAUAGAUUUUCCUUCAUUGACUUUAAUUUUCCAUUCCAAAAACCAAUCUUGUAUUCUGUCUAGAUACGCUUGAAGGAGAUGCGAGGCAUAAAUAGGGUCAGUGUGUGAGGCUAGGAUUGCAGUAACGUCGGCAAAUGUUCCUGGCAUCAUUUCUUCUGUAGGUGGUCUCUCCUCUAGUGGUUCCUGAAGAGUUGGAGGUAUAUCUGCGAUAAACAAGAGAUACAAGGUAGGUCCCAGCACACUACCCUGCGGUACGCCAGCUUUGAUAGAAUAGAGUUUGGAAAUUGCAUCUUGGUAUUUAAUAAAAUAACACCUACCUGACAAAUAUGACUCAGAAGAAUGUAAAAGCUGUGCGGUAUUGUCCUUUUUAGCUUGUAUAGCAGGCCUUCAUGCCAUACCUUGUCAAAUGCCGCUGAACAGUACGCCUCAAAAUCAGCAUUUAUAUGUUUUACCACUCUGUGAACUUGUUGGAUUGUUGAGUGAUGGGGCCGAAAUCCAAACUGGUGGUCUGGAAUUAGAUUUUUGAUCCAGGGUUCGAGUUUUUUUACUAAUAGUUUUUCGAAAACUUUAGACGUGAUCGGCAAGAGGCUGAUUGGCCUGUACGAUGUAGUUUCUUUUUGAGGUUUCCCCGGUUUUAGAAUGGUUAUUAUCUGAGACACUUUCCAUUGAUCAGGAAAGUAACCUAAGUUUAAUAUGGCAUUGAAUAUAAACAUUAGAAGUUUUAUGCAUUUGAGAGGUAAUUCUUUCAACACUUUUCCAUUGAUCAAGUCGUACCCUGGAGAUUUUCUAUCGUUUAAAUUGUUAAUAGCUAAGAUGACUUUGGACGAUUUAAAUUUCGGAAUAGGUAAACUCAUUUGAUAUGGACUUUGAAGAAAUGAGAAUACAUCUACUUCCACAGGUGAAUUCAUUUGAUUGGGAGUAAAUACUUCGGAGAAAUACUCUGCAAAACAACUUGCUUUCUCUUGUGCACACGAGCCCAUUCUCUGUCCGAUUUUCUGAUUGGAGGUGACGGUUUCUGGGUUUGUUUCAGUUUUCUCGUGGCUUUCCAUAGCGAAUAAUCGCUAUCUUUAGUGGAAGCUAAAUUUUCCAAGUAGCACUGAAGUGAUUGGUUUUUGAGGUCUUCGAACAGCUUUUUUAAUUCCCUUGAUGCACUUUUGAAUCUACGCUUAUCCGCAGGAUCUCUGGUCUGUUGCCGUCUUUUCCUCAAUCUUCUCUUUAACAAUAUUUUUUCUUUGACUACUUGUGGGCAGUCAUUUAUUAUGCAUUUAUCUUGUAUUGUUGGUGUUGUUUGCCAGGCAGCUGAUUGGAUAUUUGUAGUUAGUUGUUCCACAGCAAGAAAAGUCCCAAGAAGUCUCAGAUGUAAACAAUAAAUCUGAAAAUUCUCGUGGAACUUAAUCUCUGCCUUUUACAAUUUAUAAGGCAAGAAGACGAAAGGGAAUCUACAAUAUGCAGUCACAUUCCGUCUAUUCGUAUAGGAAAAAUUCCAACGAAAGUUGAUUCCGUGUACUCAAUAUACAGGGUGUCCAGAAACUCUACCGACAAACGAAGACAGUAGAUUCCUCAGAUAAUUUUAAGACAAUUUAACCCAAUUCACCUAGUCUGAAAAUGCUACCUAAGGGAGCUAGAGCUCUUUGAAGAUGGCGUCAUGUAAUUAGUUUUUCUUAAAUACCUCCAGAACGCUUCUAUUUAGAAAAACAAAAAUUGGUAUGCGUAUUUACUUUCCAGAAAUGAAUCGAUUCCAUCGAUUGCGAAUUUGACUCUGAAUUAUUAAAUUGUGAGGUAUUCUAGUACUAAAAGGUACUCUUACUUUAAGUCGAUAAGAUUAUAACGUUUUCUAGAAAAAUCGAUUUGAAAAUUUUUCGUUCUUUGAAUUUCAAAAAAAAGAUUCAAAAAAAAACUAUUUAGAAAGAUGAAAACUGGUACAUUUAUUUAUAUUCCAGAGAUUAAUCGAUUUCAUUAAUGGCGAAUUUCUAGAAACGGUCAUAGGCGUCCGUUUUGGGUAGGUCAACAGUUAUUUUAUAGCAUAACUUUAUUGUCUUUAAUUUUUAAGUAUUUUUGACACUAGAUUAUUCAAUUAUGAGAUAUUCGAGUACUAAAAGUUACUCUUGCUUUAAGUUGGUAAAAUACAUCGUUUUUUUAAUGUUUUUCAUUCUUUUUUUUUUUUCAAAUUCCCAAAACUAAAAACUUUCAAAUCGAUUUUCUAGAAACGGUGUGUCCUACCGACUUAAAGUAAGAGUACCUUUUAGUACUAGAAUACCUCACAAUUUAAUAAUCCAGUAUCAAAAAUGCUUAAAAGUUGAAGACAAAAAAGUUAUGCGAUAAAAUAACCGUUGCCCUACCCAAAACGGACGCCUAUGACCAGUACUAGAAAUUCGCAAUGGAUGGAAUCGAUUCAUUUCUAGAAAGUAAAUAUGUAUACAAAUUUUCGUUUUUCUAGAUAGAAGCGUUCUGGAGGUAUUUAAGAAAAACUAAUUACAUGGCGCCAUCUUCAAAGAGCUCUAGCUCCCUUAGGAAGCAUUUUCCGACUAGGUGAAUUGGGUUAAAUCGUCUUAAAAUUAUCUGAGGAAUCUCCUGUCUUCGUUUGUCGGUAGAGUUUCUGGAUACCCUGUAUAUAAAUGAAAAAUUAAAGACAGCUAUGUUUCAUUUCGGUUCAGAGAUGAUCCACCAUCCCCAUACGUCCGUUUCGGUGUCUCCAAACCUCUUCAGUGAAGUCUACUACUACUGAAGGGGCUACUCAUACAUCUAUGAGUUACGAAAUAUCAGGAAAAUAUAAUAUAGUUAUAUCUCAGUUACGUUUUCUUGAAUAUUUUGUUUUCAACAAAGAUCAUCAAUGCGUUAAUCUUCCACUAUUUCUGUAAUUGUUAUUCGAGAUGACCUACAUAAUUUCUAUUAGGAAUCUUACGGAAUAGAAAAUUAUGGAAAAAAUAUUCGGAUUUGGGAUAGGAAAAUUUUGAGAAAAGAUUUUAUGUGGUAUAAAGCAGGCUAAUGGUAAAUGGCAAAAAGAACAAACCAAAAGCUAAUGGAGAUGUAUAAGAGACAUAAAAUAACACAAAAAAUCAGGACGCAGAGAGUUGAAUAUUUGGGACAUUUUUAACGAAUGCCACAAGAAAGAAAGAGUUUUGCAAGCAGAAUAACAAAGGAAGAAUAGAAGAGGGAGACCAAGAAGGAAUCGGAGAAAUGGGUACAAGGGACUAGAGAGAACAAGUGAAGGACCGGAAAAAGUGGAAGAAUCUAGUCAAGACACGAAGCCAAGGGAGCCUCCAAGGCCUGUUGUUGUCUGAAUUAUGAAAAAAAACCUCAUUUUGUCAUAUAUCUACCAAAUCAUCGACUUCUGGGACUUAUAGCUUACAUAUCUAUGAAAAUGAUAAUGAAAAUCUAUGA